UACGUAGGGGGCAAGCGUUGUCCGGAUUUAUUGGGCGUAAAGAGCGUGUAGGCGGCUUGGUAGGUCCGCUGUGAAAACUCGAGGCUCAACCUCGAGAUGUCGGCGGAAACCACUUGGCUAGAGUCCGGAAGAGGAGAGUGGAAUUCAUGGUGUAGCGGUGAAAUGCGCAGAUAUCAGGAAGAACACCUAUGGCGAAGGCAGCUCUCUGGGACGGUACUGACGCUGAGACGCGAAAGCGUGGGGAGCGAACAGG
Molecule: ribosomal RNA, 253 nt
Filed under: uncultured bacterium
Lineage: Bacteria
Description: partial 16S ribosomal RNA
Rfam family: Bacterial small subunit ribosomal RNA
Source: RNAcentral